ACUCCUACGGAGCAGGCAGUGGGUAGGUAAUUCAUCAAUGGGGAAACCCGGUAGCAUGCAGCCAUGCCGCGUGUGUGAAGAAGGCCUUCGGGUUGUAAAGCACUUUCAGUAGGGAGGAAGGUAGUGUAGUUAACACCUGCAUUAUUUGACGUUACCUACAGAAGAAGCACCGGCUAACUCCGUGCCAGCAGCCGCGGUAAUACGGAGGGUGCGAGCGUUAAUCGGAAUUACUGGGCGUAAAGCGCAUGCAGGCGGCCUGUUAAGUCAGAUGUGAAAGCCCGGGCUU
This 286-nucleotide ribosomal RNA is filed under the name uncultured bacterium. Its description in RNAcentral is "partial 16S ribosomal RNA". It matches the Rfam family "Bacterial small subunit ribosomal RNA", at positions 335 to 609 of the family's 1533-position model. The record is from RNAcentral.